AUUGAACGCUGGCGGCAGGCUUAACACAUGCAAGUCGAGCGUGAAAGGGCUUCGGCCUGAGUAAAGCGGCGGACGGGUGAGUAACGCGUAGGAAUCUACCUGGUAGUGGGGGAUAACGUUCCGAAAGGAACGCUAAUACCGCAUACGUUCUGAGGAAGAAAGCAGGGGACCGCAAGGCCUUGCGCUAUCAGAUGAGCCUGCGUCCGAUUAGCUAGUUGGUGGGGUAAAGGCCUACCAAGGCGACGAUCGGUAACUGGUCUGAGAGGAUGAUCAGUCACACUGGAACGGAGACACGGUCCAGACUCCUAAGGGAGGCAGCAGUGGGGAAUAUUGGACAAUGGGGGCAACCCUGAUCCAGCCAUGCCGCGUGUGUGAAGAAGGCCUUCGGGUUGUAAAGCACUUUAAGCUGGGAGGAAGGCUCCAUGGCUAAUAUCUAUGGGGAUUGACGUUACCAGCAGAAUAAGCACCGGCAAACUUCGUGCCAGCAGCCGCCGUAA
RNAcentral lists this ribosomal RNA (497 nucleotides) under uncultured bacterium. Its description in RNAcentral is "partial 16S ribosomal RNA". It matches the Rfam family "Bacterial small subunit ribosomal RNA", at positions 30 to 523 of the family's 1533-position model. The record is from RNAcentral.